RNAcentral lists this ribosomal RNA (229 nucleotides) under uncultured bacterium. Its description in RNAcentral is "partial 16S ribosomal RNA". It matches the Rfam family "Bacterial small subunit ribosomal RNA", at positions 568 to 796 of the family's 1533-position model. The record is from RNAcentral.
UCCGUAGGUGGAUAAUUAAGUCAGAGGUGAAAUCCUGCAGCUCAACUGUAGAAUUGCCUUUGAUACUGGUUAUCUUGAAUUAUUAUGAAGUAGUUAGAAUAUGUAGUGUAGCGGUGAAAUGCAUAGAUAUUACAUAGAAUACCAAUUGCGAAGGCAGAUUACUAACAAUAUACUGACACUGAUGGACGAAAGCGUGGGUAGCGAACAGGAUUAGAUACCCUGGUAGUCC